Molecule: ribosomal RNA, 253 nt
Filed under: uncultured bacterium
Lineage: Bacteria
Description: partial 16S ribosomal RNA
Rfam family: Bacterial small subunit ribosomal RNA
Source: RNAcentral
UACGAAGGGGGCUAGCGUUGCUCGGAAUCACUGGGCGUAAAGCGCACGUAGGCGGAUUGUUAAGUCAGGGGUGAAAUCCCGAGGCUCAACCUCGGAACUGCCUUUGAUACUAUUGGUCUUGAAUGUUGUUGAGGUGGGCGGAACGGGUCAUGUAGCGGUGAAAUGCAUAGAUAUGACCCGGAACACCGAUUGCGAAGGCAGCCCGCUAAGCAACUAUUGACGCUGAGGCACGAAAGCGUGGGGAUCAAACAGG